Aedes aegypti (yellow fever mosquito) is the source of this 1024-nucleotide long non-coding RNA. RefSeq lists it as uncharacterized. The transcript has 2 exons. The record is from RefSeq and is a predicted model, not a curated record. Lineage: Eukaryota; Metazoa; Arthropoda; Insecta; Diptera; Culicidae.
UUGCAUCAGUGUAAAAUCGACUCAAGUAGUGUUUUGUUUUGAUUCGUGGUUAAGUCACUUUGUCUCUCCAAAUCAACUACAUUUUUUACAUAAUUGGAACCACCCGGUCAUGUCACGGAUUCGAGCCUCCAGUGACCAUUUGUCGACCUGGAGCAAACCCUAGCAUGUGACCGAUCAAAUUUAAAGAAUUUUCAGCAACAAUUUAUUGGUGGUCAAAGCAGCUACAUGAUUUCAUGGCCAGGUGAUUUCAUGUGUGAAAAGAUUUAGUUUGAUAUGGCCUCUAAUGGAUCGGCGCUGAAAAUUCAUGAAAUUUGAUAGGUCACAUGCUAUUAGUAAGUAAGUAUUCCGAGAUACUGCAUCAUAAAUAUUAUAGUUUAUUUCUCGAAGUACUGUAAUAUUCAACUAGGGCGUUACAAUACUAGGAGAUGCGUUUCCAUGCUUAUAUUGGGUAGUGUACCUAUGAAAAUUUGUAAAGUAAUUGCAUGUAAAAUCGAGCAUAUUCAAGUAGUUCUAUCUCGUAACGUUUGUGUUGUCACCCAAAUAAAACUUCAAGUACUCUCAAUCUGACAGAUACCAACAACAAAGCCAGACGAAGUAAAGAAACCAUAUUGGGAAUACGGAAUAAUGCCCUAUUCUUCUUUCAACGAAAUUCAACCGUACAGGCUUCCGUUGCCAAUUGGAAACUCAACCUAUGCCCCCCUACUUAUAAUAUGGAUACAGGAAACUCAACCGCACAGGUUGCUCCGUUGUCGAUUGUAUCGUUUCCUAUAAGCAACAAUAAUGGCACCGUUGCGGACGAUACGGACGACUACCUUGAAGAGCCAUUGGGAAGAAACGAAACGAUCGUGCUGACAAGGUACAAACCUGGCGAAACGGCCCCAAUUGCUCCUACGCAAAAGAAGAUAAAACGACGCAUCAGGAUUAACCCCGAGACAGGCCAACGACAGGUCAUGAAACGCCGAAAGGUCCCGAAAGCAGUGGUCGAAGAGACAGAAAUGUAACAAUAAACUGUGUGUUGAAUUUG